UGUGGAAGGGCUCGUGAGGGGUUUGAAGUGUCAACGGCGGAGAGGAGAGGACUGAAGAUCGGGCAGUCGGAGAGGGGGGAGGACUGUGAAUGGGCACCGGAUGAUCCACAAGCAGUGGGGAAACUGCUCUCUGAGAAACCGGCUCCUGCAGGUGUGGUGGGGCAAACGCUGGGAAGAAUCUGGUGCCCUAUCAAGGGGCUUGAGUGUAAGGAGUUGGAGACCAAUGUGUUCCUGUUCACCUUCCGCCAAGCAUCGGGAUGGAGGCGUGCCCUCGAGAAUGGACCGUGGUGGUUUGACAAAGAGCUG
RNAcentral lists this ribosomal RNA (306 nucleotides) under Triticum aestivum (bread wheat). RNAcentral's name for it is "partial small subunit ribosomal RNA". The record is from RNAcentral. Lineage: Eukaryota; Viridiplantae; Streptophyta; Magnoliopsida; Poales; Poaceae.